RNAcentral lists this ribosomal RNA (253 nucleotides) under uncultured bacterium. RNAcentral's name for it is "partial 16S ribosomal RNA". It matches the Rfam family "Bacterial small subunit ribosomal RNA", at positions 524 to 776 of the family's 1533-position model. The record is from RNAcentral.
UACGUAGGGGGCUAGCGUUGUCCGGAAUCAUUGGGCGUAAAGCGCGUGUAGGCGGUCCGGUAAGUCCGCUGUGAAAGUCGGGGGCUCAACCCUCGAAUGCCGGUGGAUACUGUCGGGCUAGAGUGCGGAAGAGGCGAGUGGAAUUCCUGGUGUAGCGGUGAAAUGCGCAGAUAUCAGGAGGAACACCUAUUUCGAAGGCAGGUCUCUGGGCUGACACUGACGCUCAUGCACGAAAGCGUGGGGAGCAAACAGG